Molecule: ribosomal RNA, 119 nt
Filed under: Danio rerio (zebrafish)
Lineage: Eukaryota; Metazoa; Chordata; Actinopteri; Cypriniformes; Danionidae
Source: RNAcentral
UUCCACAGCCAUAUCACCCUGCAGCCCAGGACCGGUAACUCACUGAAGCUAAGCAGGGCUGAGCCUGGUUAGUACCUGGAUGGAAGGCCACUAUAGGGAACACCAGGUUGCUGUUGGAA